GCCGGGAUGGCGGAAUAGGUAGACGCAACGGACUUAAAAUCCGUUGAGACGUAAGUCUCGUGCGGGUUCGAGCCCCGCUCCCGGUA
RNAcentral lists this transfer RNA (86 nucleotides) under Bacteroidota bacterium. RNAcentral's name for it is "Bacteroidetes bacterium (marine metagenome) tRNA-Leu". It matches the Rfam family "tRNA". From Rfam's summary of the family: Transfer RNA (tRNA) molecules are approximately 80 nucleotides in length. Their secondary structure includes four short double-helical elements and three loops (D, anti-codon, and T loops). The record is from RNAcentral. Lineage: Bacteria; Pseudomonadati; Bacteroidota. RNAcentral also lists the same sequence under 2 other names.